This 337-nucleotide ribosomal RNA is filed under the name uncultured Oceanospirillales bacterium. RNAcentral describes it as "SSU rRNA". It matches the Rfam family "Bacterial small subunit ribosomal RNA", at positions 30 to 367 of the family's 1533-position model. Lineage: Bacteria; Pseudomonadati; Pseudomonadota; Gammaproteobacteria; Oceanospirillales. The record is from RNAcentral.
UUGAACGCUGGCGGUAGGCUUAACACAUGCAAGUCGUGCGAGAAAGUAUCUUCGGAUAUGAGUAGAGCGGCGGACGGGUGAGUAACGCGUAGGAAUCUACCUAGUAGAAGGGGAUAGCCCGAGGAAACUCGGAUUAAUACCGUAUACCUCCUUCGGGAGAAAGAAGGCCUCUCUUUGAAGCUUUCGCUACUAGAUGAGCCUGCGUAAGAUUAGUUUGUUGGUAGGGUAAUGGCCUACCAAGACUGUGAUCAAUAGCUGAUUUGAGAGGAUGAUCAGCCACAUUGGGACUGAGACACGGCCCAAAACUCCUACGGGAGGCAGCAGUGGGGAAUCUUGC